Podarcis muralis (Common wall lizard) is the source of this 284-nucleotide non-coding RNA. The record is from RefSeq and is a predicted model, not a curated record. NCBI's taxonomy places the organism in Eukaryota, Metazoa, Chordata, Lepidosauria, Squamata, Lacertidae.
UCUGUUUUGUUUAAGGUAACAUUUUAAGUGGUUGGUUGGGAAGGGAUGCCUCUAUUCGUGGAAUAUGGAUGAUGGAAUCACAAAAGCAGUCACAUCACUAAAGAACAAGAGAGAAAAGCAAAGCAAAGGAUUCCAGUUCAGGCAUCGAUACCAAAAUGAACACCACCACAAUAAGUUUUAAUUAAGUCCAGGACACAAAUUGGAAUUUCAAGCUAUUAAAAACAGGGACAUCAGCAGCUGUUGAAGGCACACACGUGAAGUAAAUAAAACAUGUUUUUAAAUUA